GAUGAACGCUGGCGGCGUGCCUAAUACAUGCAAGUCGAGCGAACAGACGAGGAGCUUGCUCCUCUGACGUUAGCGGCGGACGGGUGAGUAACACGUGGAUAACCUACCUAUAAGACUGGGAUAACUUCGGGAAACCGGAGCUAAUACCGGAUAAUAUAUUGAACCGCAUGGUUCAAUAGUGAAAGACGGUUUUGCUGUCACUUAUAGAUGGAUCCGCGCCGCAUUAGCUAGUUGGUAAGGUAACGGCUUACCAAGGCAACGAUGCGUAGCCGACCUGAGAGGGUGAUCGGCCACACUGGAACUGAGACACGGUCCAGACUCCCACGGGAGGCAGCAGUAGGGAAUCUGACGCAAUGGGCGAAAGCCUGACGGAGCAACGCCGCGUGAGUGAUGAAGGUCUUCGGAUCGUAAAACUCUGUUAUUAGGGAAGAACAAAUGUGUAAGUAACUAUGCACGUCUUGACGGUACCUAAUCAGAAAGCCACGGCUAACUACGUG
Molecule: ribosomal RNA, 497 nt
Filed under: uncultured bacterium
Lineage: Bacteria
Description: partial 16S ribosomal RNA
Rfam family: Bacterial small subunit ribosomal RNA
Source: RNAcentral